UUGGAGGGCAAGUCUGGUGCCAGCAGCCGCGGUAAUUCCAGCUCCAAUAGCGUAUAUUAAAGUUGUUGCAGUUAAAAAGCUCGUAGUUGAACCUUGGGCCUGGCUGGCCGGUCCGUCUCAUCGCGUGUACUGGUCCGGCUGGGCCUUUCCUUCUGGCUAGGCACAUGCCCUUUACUGGGUGUGUGUCCGAACCAGGACUUUUACUUUGAAAAAAUUAGAGUAUUCAAAGCAGGCAUAUGCUCGAAUACAUUAGCAUGGAAUAAUAG
RNAcentral lists this ribosomal RNA (266 nucleotides) under uncultured Ascomycota. RNAcentral describes it as "partial 18S ribosomal RNA". It matches the Rfam family "Eukaryotic small subunit ribosomal RNA", at positions 548 to 820 of the family's 1831-position model. The record is from RNAcentral. Lineage: Eukaryota; Fungi; Ascomycota.